CUUCGGCCGCGAGUGGCCCGCCGCCGGUGGCUCGGAGGGCGGUGCUUGCCGCUCAAGCCACGUCCACCACCGCGGCGCCGCCCCAGUCAGCAUGGCCUCGGUCGAUUCGUGAGUCGCCUCCAACAGCUGCGACGACAAAUUAUAUGUCGUACAUGGGGGGAGUAAGCGUAGGCCAGCGCUCUUUCCCUCUUCGCGACAGCCUCCACCUUCCUACGCAUCCUCGCCUCCAGCUGCUCUUUCGCCAGCAAGCUGUCGUCCCAUCCGCCAUGGCCGCCCACUGCUUCCUCCUGGAACAUAGAUUCGCAAAUUUGGGGAUCAGAAACCCUAAAGCAAAACCAGAUUCAAUCUUUAGAACAGAAAUCGCUUGGGGAGGAAGGUUUCUUUCCGCGUGGCGGAGAAGCUGAAGGCGUCUGGUCUCCGCCAUGCGCGACCUCCACGCCUGCACCUGCGACUGCGCCCGGACGAGCCUCUGCAUGUGGCGCAUGGUGUUGGCCAUCUGCCGCUUCACCUCCUGCCCCCUCACCGUCCUCUGAAGCCUCAUCAUCCCCCUUAGCGCCUUGUACCUCCGCCUCGCCUGCCUCACGAGAACCACCGUACAGUUCCAUUAAUCUCCUCUCAAUUUCAUUCCUGAACAAUGAACAUUCAGAUUAAUCGUUACCCUGUAACCUCUGUACGCCGCUUGAAUCUUGAUUGCUGAAACGCGAGCAUGGUCGAGCUCGAUCGUUGUCUGAACUCUCCGACGGCGGCAUUCACUUUCUGCAUCUUCGAGUAUCUUCUCAAUGCUGCUCGGUUCUCCAUGAAUGAAGAUGAUCAGGAAGAGGAUGGUGAUGGUCUCAAUUCAACUUUGCUUCAGCAGAAAGCCUAGGGAAGAUUGCAACAGUGGGUUGGUGGCUGGUAUCUGAUGAAUCAAAGUAGAUCUAAGUUGGAUUCUUUUUUUCUUCAAUGUUUAAAAGUAUUUUUUGUAUAUGAUUUUGAUUUGAUUUAAUUUGAUUUGAAUGAUUUAUAAUAGGGCUCAACAACUCUUAGCUAGAGAGUGGCCAACAAAUUGGAAAGUGGCAUGGAUAGUUGCUUAUAAGCUACUCUAAAGUAGGGUGGUUAUCUUAUCCAAAUCGUGUCGGAUUUGACUAAGUAUGGUUAGUUUACGAACCUUUAGAUUCGUCAAAUUCUCCACUGAUGUCAUCGAUAUAAUAGUGAGAAAUUCUCUCACAAUCUAAUUGUCUUUAGCAUUAUUUCGGUUAUAGUAGCAUUGAUCCAAAGAA
Molecule: long non-coding RNA, 1259 nt
Organism: Zingiber officinale
Lineage: Eukaryota; Viridiplantae; Streptophyta; Magnoliopsida; Zingiberales; Zingiberaceae
Exons: 3
Source: RefSeq, a predicted model, not a curated record